RNAcentral lists this ribosomal RNA (522 nucleotides) under Ascesis sp. NLG. RNAcentral's name for it is "partial 16S ribosomal RNA". The stretch from base 386 to 522 matches the Rfam family "Bacterial large subunit ribosomal RNA", at positions 2473 to 2610 of the family's 2925-position model. The record is from RNAcentral. Lineage: Eukaryota; Metazoa; Arthropoda; Insecta; Coleoptera; Elateridae.
CAUGUCUUUUUGAUUAUAAUUUAAGGUUUAAUCUGCUCAAUGAGGAUUUAAAUUGCCGCGGUAUAUUGACCGUGCAAAGGUAGCAUAAUAAUUAGUUUUUUUAUUGAAAGCUGGAAUGAAUGAUUGGACGAGAGAAUGACUGUCUCUGAUUAAUUUUUUUUUGAAAUUAACAUUUAAGUAAAAAGGCUUAAAUAUGUAUUAAAGACGAGAAGACCCUAUAGAGUUUUAUAUUUGCUUUUCAUAAAUUUUUUAGAAUUUAUUAAUUUAUAAUUUGUUUAGUAUUUAGUUGGGGUGAUUAGAAGAUUAAUUAAACUCUUUUUAAAAAAAUCAAUGAUUAUUGAUUCGUUAAUCUGACUUUGUCAAAUUUAAUAAAAAUUACCUUAGGGAUAACAGCGUAAUUUCUUUUUAGAGUUCUUAUUAAAAGAGAAGUUUGCGACCUCGAUGUUGGAUUAAAAUUUAUUUUUGGUGCAGAAGCUUUGAUAUUAAGUCUGUUCGACUUUUGAAAUUUUACAUGAUCUGAGU